GAUUGGAAAAGAAGAAGAAAAGACUUGCUAACCCGCCAUGGCAAUUGUCAAGAGAAACACAAGUGUUGUAUGCUUGGCCUUGAUUUUGGUCAUAGCCACAACCUUGUUGUCCUUUUCAACUACACAAGGGGCGUGCUUAGUGGCUCCGGAAUGCUCAGGUCCCUACCGAAAUGUAAUUUGCGGUGAGUUAUGCGCUCGUUACGGUUACAGUAAAAAUGGAUACUGCAAAGAUUCAAGAAACUGCUGCUGUAGUGGCAAAAAAUUAGCAAAGUCAGUCCUCGUGGAUCCUACUGCAAAUCCCUAGGAGAGAUACUCUAGAAGCUGGUGUGCCACAAUAUGUAAUGGCGAGAUGAUUAAAUUUGCUGUGAAAUAAGUUUUUUAUCAGUGCAUCAGGAAUUCGGCAUGAAUGUGAACGGAAUGGUCAACAAUUCAAUAUGUUUGGCGGAUGGAUGUAACAUACAGUUAGUUCGAUUUGGUAAACAUUUUAAUCAA
This is a long non-coding RNA of Hordeum vulgare subsp. vulgare (domesticated barley), 492 nucleotides long. RefSeq lists it as uncharacterized. The transcript is spliced from 2 exons. The record is from RefSeq and is a predicted model, not a curated record. Lineage: Eukaryota; Viridiplantae; Streptophyta; Magnoliopsida; Poales; Poaceae.